CUGGCUCAGAUUGAACGCUGGCGGCAGGCCUAACACAUGCAAGUCGAGCGGUAGCACGGGAGAGCUUGCUCUCUGGGUGACGAGCGGCGGACGGGUGAGUAAUGUCUGGGGAUCUGCCUGAUGGAGGGGGAUAACUACUGGAAACGGUAGCUAAUACCGCAUAACGUCGCAAGACCAAAGAGGGGGACCUUCGGGCCUCUUGCCAUCAGAUGAACCCAGAUGGGAUUAGCUAGUAGGUGNGGUAAUGGCUCACCUAGGCGACGAUCCCUAGCUGGUCUGAGAGGAUGACCAGCCACACUGGAACUGAGACACGGUCCAGACUCCUACGGGAGGCAGCAGUGGGGAAUAUUGCACAAUGGGCGCAAGCCUGAUGCAGCCAUGCCGCGUGUAUGAAGAAGGCCUUCGGGUUGUAAAGUACUUUCAGCGAGGAGGAAGGCGUUAAGGUUAAUAACCUUGGCGAUUGACGUUACUCGCAGAA
RNAcentral lists this ribosomal RNA (478 nucleotides) under Cedecea neteri. Its description in RNAcentral is "bacterial SSU rRNA". It matches the Rfam family "Bacterial small subunit ribosomal RNA", at positions 19 to 486 of the family's 1533-position model. Lineage: Bacteria; Pseudomonadati; Pseudomonadota; Gammaproteobacteria; Enterobacterales; Enterobacteriaceae. The record is from RNAcentral.